Molecule: ribosomal RNA, 145 nt
Filed under: Staphylococcus aureus
Lineage: Bacteria; Bacillati; Bacillota; Bacilli; Caryophanales; Staphylococcaceae
Description: partial 16S ribosomal RNA
Rfam family: Bacterial small subunit ribosomal RNA
Source: RNAcentral
UUUAUGGAGAGUUUGUUCCUGGCUCAGGAUGAACGCUGGCGGCGUGCCUAAUACAUGCAAGUCGAGCGAACGGACGAGAAGAUUGCUUCUCUGAUGUUAGCGGCGGACGGGUGAGUAACACGUGGAUAACCUACCUAUAAGACUG